This 245-nucleotide unclassified non-coding RNA is filed under the name Hevea brasiliensis (rubber tree). The record is from RNAcentral. Lineage: Eukaryota; Viridiplantae; Streptophyta; Magnoliopsida; Malpighiales; Euphorbiaceae.
GAAUUUGAAGCCCAUGUUGUUGCCAGAUUUAUAAUCUCUCAACACAUCAAUAGCUCCAAAGCUGGUUAUUAGAAUUGUACUCAAUGCCAUCACAAUACCAACUGAGAAGACAAUUAUAGAAGCCCUGCCAUAUUCUUGUAUGGUUCUUUGUACUACCAGCAAUCCAAGGAGUGAAGCAACGAAACAUAUAGCUGCGAAGAUAAGGGCGGUGUCUGUGUGCUCCAUUCCGAAUAAUAGGUACUGAA